Molecule: ribosomal RNA, 457 nt
Filed under: uncultured bacterium
Lineage: Bacteria
Description: bacterial SSU rRNA
Rfam family: Bacterial small subunit ribosomal RNA
Source: RNAcentral
UACGGAAGGCAGCAGUGGGGAAUAUUGCACAAUGGGCGAAAGCCUGAUGCAGCUAUGCCGCGUGUAUGAAGAAGGCCUUAGGGUUGUAAAGUACUUUCAUCGGGGAGGAAAAAGACAAAACUAAUAAUUUUAUUUCUUGACGUUACCCGAAAAAGAAGCACCGGCUAACUCCGUGCCAGCAGCCGCGGUAAUACGGAGGGUGCUAGCGUUAAUCAGAAUUACUGGGCGUAAAGAGCACGUAGGUGGUUUUUUUAAGUCAGAUGUGAAAUCCCUGGGCUUAACCUAGGAACUGCAUUUUGAAACUGAAAUACUAGAGUAUCGUAGAGGGAGGUAGAAUUCUAGGUGUAGCGGUGAAAUGCGUAGAUAUCUGGAGGAAUACCUGUGGCGAAAGCGGCCUCCUAAACGAAUACUGACACUGAGGUGCGAAAGCGUGGGGAGCAAACAGGGAUUAGAUACC